Molecule: ribosomal RNA, 721 nt
Filed under: oral metagenome
Description: bacterial SSU rRNA
Rfam family: Bacterial small subunit ribosomal RNA
Source: RNAcentral
AGAGUUUGAUCCUGGCUCAGGAUGAACGCUGGCGGCGUGCCUAAUACAUGCAAGUCGAGCGAGAAGUUAGAGCGGCGGACGGGUGAGUAACGCGUGGGUAACCUGCCCUUUACAGGGGGAUAGCAAUUGGAAACGAUUAUUAAUACCCCAUAAUCUUUAAUAACCGCAUGGUUGUUGAAGGAAAGAUUUAUCGGUAAAGGAUGGACCCGCGUCUGAUUAGCUAGUUGGUGAGGUAACGGCCCACCAAGGCGACGAUCAGUAGCCGACCUGAGAGGGUGAUCGGCCACAUUGGAACUGAGACACGGUCCAGACUCCUACGGGAGGCAGCAGUAGGGAAUAUUGGGCAAUGGGGGAAACCCUGACCCAGCAACGCCGCGUGAACGAUGAAGGUCUUCGGAUCGUAAAGUUCUUUUCUUGAGGAAGAAGGAAGUGACGGUACUCAAGGAAUAAGCACCGGCUAACUACGUGCCAGCAGCCGCGGUAAUACGUAGGGUGCAAGCGUUAUCCGGAAUCACUGGGCGUAAAGAAUGUAAGCUUUUGAAACUGAUUGGCUUGAAUACAGGAGGGGCAAGUGGAAUUCCUAGUGUAGCGGUGAAAUGCGUAGAUAUUAGGAGGAACACCGGUGGCGAAGGCGACUUGCUGGACUGAGAUUGACGCUGAGGCACGAAAGCGUGGGUAGCGAACAGGAUUAGAUACCCUGGUAGUCCACGCCGUAAACGAU